GCUUACCAUGCAGUCGAACGAUGAAGCCCAGCUUGCUGGGUGGAUUAGUGGCGAACGGGUGAGUAACACGUGAGUAACCUGCCCUUGACUCUGGGAUAAGCGUUGGAAACGACGUCUAAUACCGGAUACGAGCUUCCACCGCAUGGUGAGUUGCUGGAAAGAAUUUUGGUCAAGGAUGGACUCGCGGCCUAUCAGCUUGUUGGUGAGGUAAUGGCUCACCAAGGCGACGACGGGUAGCCGGCCUGAGAGGGUGACCGGCCACACUGGGACUGAGACACGGCCCAGACUCCUACGGGAGGCAGCAGUGGGGAAUAUUGCACAAUGGGCGAAAGCCUGAUGCAGCAACGCCGCGUGAGGGACGACGGCCUUCGGGUUGUAAACCUCUUUUAGCAGGGAAGAAGCGAAAGUGACGGUACCUGCAGAAAAAGCACCGGCUAACUACGUGCCAGCAGCCGCGGUAAUACGUAGGGUGCAAGCGUUGUCCGGAAUUAUUGGGCGUAAAGAGCUCGUAGGCGGUUUGUCGCGUCUGCUGUGAAAUCCCGAGGCUCAACCUCGGGUCUGCAGUGGGUACGGGCAGACUAGAGUGCGGUAGGGGAGAUUGGAAUUCCUGGUGUAGCGGUGGAAUGCGCAGAUAUCAGGAGGAACACCGAUGGCGAAGGCAGAUCUCUGGGCCGCUACUGACGCUGAGGAGCGAAAGGGUGGGGAGCAAACAGGCUUAGAUACCCUGGUAGUCCACCCCGUAAACGUUGGGCGCUAGAUGUGGGGACCAUUCCACGGUUUCCGUGUCGUAGCUAACGCAUUAAGCGCCCCGCCU
This 814-nucleotide ribosomal RNA is filed under the name Plantibacter sp. B3-PCA-PT2P21. RNAcentral describes it as "bacterial SSU rRNA". It matches the Rfam family "Bacterial small subunit ribosomal RNA", at positions 46 to 874 of the family's 1533-position model. The record is from RNAcentral. Lineage: Bacteria; Bacillati; Actinomycetota; Actinomycetes; Micrococcales; Microbacteriaceae.